This 476-nucleotide ribosomal RNA is filed under the name uncultured bacterium. Its description in RNAcentral is "bacterial SSU rRNA". It matches the Rfam family "Bacterial small subunit ribosomal RNA", at positions 28 to 507 of the family's 1533-position model. The record is from RNAcentral.
GACGAACGCUGGCGGCGCGCCUAACACAUGCAAGUCGAACGAGAGAUGAGGAGCUUGCUCUUCAAAUCGAGUGGCGAACGGGUGAGUAACGCGUGAGGAACCUGCCUCAAAGAGGGGGACAACAGUUGGAAAUGACUGCUAAUACCGCAUAAGCCCACGGCUCGGCAUCGAGCAGAGGGAAAAGGAGCGAUCCGCUUUGAGAUGGCCUCGCGUCCGAUUAGCUAGUUGGUGAGGUAACGGCCCACCAAGGCGACGAUCGGUAGCCGGACUGAGAGGUUGAACGGCCACAUUGGGACUGAGACACGGCCCAGACUCCUACGGGAGGCAGCAGUGGGGAAUAUUGCACAAUGGGGGAAACCCUGAUGCAGCGACGCCGCGUGGAGGAAGAAGGUCUUCGGAUUGUAAACUCCUGUUGUUCGAGGAAAGGUAUAAAUUGACGGGUAACUCAAACAAGGAAGUGACGGCUAAACUACGUG